Long non-coding RNA from Ailuropoda melanoleuca (giant panda), 1565 nucleotides. RefSeq lists it as uncharacterized. Lineage: Eukaryota; Metazoa; Chordata; Mammalia; Carnivora; Ursidae. The transcript has 2 exons. The record is from RefSeq and is a predicted model, not a curated record.
ACGCAGGGCCCGACGCAGUGGGAUUUCGACACCUCUUCACGGGGCGCAGCUGCACCGGGAUGGAGGCGCAGGGGCCCGAGCUGCAGCCCAGGAGGAAGCAGUGGCGGGAGAGCCGCUCGCCCAUCUGGACUCACGGAUGUGCAAACACAGCACCCGCAUCUCUAGAGGCACCUAGAAGGCCCAAGAAGCCCUCGCAGUCCGCGCUAAUAUACCUGAGGGGGGUGCCCAGGGCCGGCACCUCGUCCCGAGGGACAGGCUCUGCCAGCAGCCCCGGGCACACGUGGACAGCCCAAGGCUGACUCAGCAAACUCUCACGGAGGGGGCAGUGGCAGGGUCAGGCUCAACCCCGGCUCUGUCUGUUUGAGGCCCGUGCCCUUAGCCAUCACGCUACAGAAAUUCAGAACAGAAAUCCAAACUAAUUUCUACCCAGCAAGAGCCACCAGCAAUGCUCACCAGCUACUGGAUAACAAUUCCAACAGCCAAAGGCUCUCGGGACGUGGGCUCCAAGACGGCAGCAGCCCUAAAUCACUCUUAAGUCCAGACAUUUCUUCACGUAUAGGAAACCGACUCACAAGGUUGAGUUACCGUCAAUUCCACCCGUCAUCCCCUGGAAUCUUGUCUUGCUCCGGAACAAAGUCAGCAUUUCUGGGGGUUCGUUCUCGUGUCCUAGCAGUUGUGAAGCCUCGGAUGACAACAGGGCUAACGUUUACUAAGCAUUUACAGCAAGCUUCUUCACCGGGACCGUCCCACUGAGCCCUCACAACCACCCUGGGAGCGGGGAGAGCACCACCGUCGUCGGAGGGUCAGGAAGGCGCCAAGGCCACACAGGGAGCAAGUGGGGAGGACUGAACCCCGGCAGGGUGCUGCAGGGCCGAGGGCCCGAGUGCCGGAAGGAGAGAGACAGGGGAAGGACAGGGCCUCCCUGAUCCAGGACACCAGCGAGGCGGCAGCCGGCAAGAGGCCGGCGGGAGGGUGCGCCCAGGCUGACCCCACGUGGGGCCAGGCCCUCGGCCAGAUGGGACGAAAGGGCAAAGGCCGUGAGUAUAUUACUUUCCUCUGGAGCCCACCCCCAGGUGAUGAAUGAUGUGUCAGGGCGAAAAGGCUGAAAGCCCCAAGGAGGAGGCCAACCCGCAAGACAAAACAAAAGAAAACAGCAGCGCGCCGUUACGACACCCCCAAUGCGCACAGAGUCCCAGGCGUCUUCCCCAGGGCUCCAGGUCAGCCCUUGCUCCCUUCUUGCCCUUAGAUGUGAAUGCGUGCAUGUGCAUGCACCUCUCUCUCUCACACGCACGCACACGCAAGCUCCGCCAUCUUGUAAUCGCUUCAAGAUGCUGUCAUUCCUACAGUGACUGAUGAAGACACGGUCCAUUUGACUCUGACCCCCCGUGGCCCUCCCAGUCCAGAAGGGUGAGGUGAGCUGCAGAGGGGGCGCCCAGCAGCAGGAGACCAGCUUCCAGGCCUGGGGCCCCAGCCUCUGGCCUCACACCAACCCUGGCUGAGCCCAAGUCAGGAAAUGAGCCUACUUCUCUCUUGCAAAAAUAAAAAUGUAUAACAAUUUGGAAAAA